UCAUGUGCGUCAUCAAAAUUCUGCCCUUCUUCGGGCUCGCAUUCGUCUUCUGUUUCCUCAAUGCUUCCGCUUCUUUCGCGAUCGUCUCGCAACUCAUCAAUAGUGUCGACCCCGCAUGUGGCAAGCUCGCUGCGCGUCUCGAGAUAUUGAUUAUCUCUAAAUCAGUCAUUUUAAAUUCUAAAAACACUGCGUAAAUUUCGUUAUAAUUUCUCAGAAACGAUCAGUGCGGGAAAAUUGUGGGCCAGGACAAAGAUUUUUGUACGGUUGAUGCGAUAAACGGCAAUUCGAGGAACGCUAGAAACGAGAAAAUAUAACAUUAUUUUAUACUGAAAUUAUCAGGGACCGAACAAACCAGACUAUGCAUCCGGGAAGAAGAUAGUUAAGGGAAUGAUGGAUAGAGGUUUCACUGUAUAUGUGUAAAACAGAGGAAAACCCACACUCAGGAUGUCUGAUCUCACCAAAUACAGGCAGCAUAUUAAGCAACAGAUGUCUCUCUGCUCAUAGACACCAUGAAAUCUACAUGGUGUCGCAACCCAGAAGAUGGCUAUGGUCAUCCUGUGACACGUUUAAAAUGGCUGCCCAAGUAUCACCAUGUGACAGACUUGCCCAUUUAGCCCACUUUUCUUUGUUAAUGAGAGCUGGCUGUGUUCUCCCUUUAAUCUUUUGUACCACUAUACCUGUUUUCUCAUGAAACCUGGUUACCAUUAUAUCACUGGAAACCACCCCAACCUCAUACUUAUUUAAUUUCUACAAUCAGUAUAAAGUAGUAAUAUGGUAAAUGUGCAGACUUGUGACAUUAGCAUUACUAAGUCUUAUAGAGCCUAGUGGUAACUAUAUGAAAGUAGAAUUUUUUAUUUAUGAGUUUUUGUAUGAUUGUUGCUGUAAACAGGAAUUAUUUCUGUGAACAAUAUUCAUAUUUUGAUCUUUGUAAAUGUGACAGGUGAUGCUUACUUUGUGGUAUGGACAGUAUCUUUAAAUAUUGUUUGCACGAAAUUCAGCUUUAAAGGGCUAAUAUAGGAUUCUGAAAUGAUGCAUGGUAAUAGAUCUUUGAAAAAUAUACAACAUUUGUUUAGAUAAUUUCUUUGUAAAAUAUAAAAAAAUUCUCUAACUUUCAGUUUGACAAUGAUAAGUAAUAAACUAUUGGACAUGGCUCAUUAAAUUUAAUAUUGUGGUAGAAAAUAAAAUGAUGAUGAUAGUAUUAA
Non-coding RNA from Zootermopsis nevadensis, 1202 nucleotides. The record is from RefSeq and is a predicted model, not a curated record. Lineage: Eukaryota; Metazoa; Arthropoda; Insecta; Blattodea; Termopsidae.